This 448-nucleotide ribosomal RNA is filed under the name uncultured bacterium. RNAcentral describes it as "bacterial SSU rRNA". It matches the Rfam family "Bacterial small subunit ribosomal RNA", at positions 330 to 795 of the family's 1533-position model. The record is from RNAcentral.
ACCAGACUCCUACGGGAGGCAGCAGUGGGGGAUAUUGCACAAUGGGGGAAACCCUGAUGCAGCGACGCCGCGUGGGUGAAGAAGCGCCUCGGCGCGUAAAGCCCUGUCAGCAGGGAAGAAAAUGACGGUACCUGAAGAAGAAGCCCCGGCUAACUACGUGCCAACAGCCGCGGUAAUACGUAGGGGGCAAGCGUUAUCCGGAUUUACUGGGUGUAAAGGGAGCGUAGACGGCAGUGCAAGUCCGGAGUGAAAGCCCGGGGCUCAACCCUGGGACUGCUCUGGAAACUGUAAAGCUGGAGUGCGGGAGGGGCAGGCGGAAUUCCUGGUGUAGCGGUGAAAUGCGUAGAUAUCAGGAGGAACACCGGCGGCGAAGGCGGCCUGCUGGACCGUAACUGACGUUGAGGCUCGAAAGCGUGGGGAGCAAACAGGAUUAGAUACCCGAGUAAAC